Molecule: long non-coding RNA, 645 nt
Organism: Pygocentrus nattereri (red-bellied piranha)
Lineage: Eukaryota; Metazoa; Chordata; Actinopteri; Characiformes; Serrasalmidae
Exons: 2
Source: RefSeq, a predicted model, not a curated record
GGGGCCUGUGAUGAUUGAUCCUGGCAGACAGCCUGUGAAAGCCAUCUUCAGUUCAAAAAGCUCUGCGGUAAAAGCAGACACAGGUGACACAUCAUCUUCAUGCUGCAGAGACUAGGUUUGGGCCCAUAAAACACUGCACAAGCACAGAGGACGAGUCGAGUAGAAGGGCAGAGCUGGGUCAGAGGAGAGGUGGUUCUGUCAAUAAGUGGACUGCAGGUUUGAGAUAAGCACUUACGAGAUGACAUGGCCUUGGGAUUAAUCUCACUAUAAUGAGAUAGUGGCGGUCUGCUGUGUCACCGUGUGUUUGACACAGGUCAGAUCCUCCCAGGCAACAGAUGCCCAACCACAGAAGUGGAUUUUAUUUCCUAGUCCCAGACCAUUCCAGACCAUUUCAGUGACCCAGACAGCCAGACAAGAGGAUCAUAGCCCACACAAUCUGGCCAGCCAUAAUGAGUCACAAGGCUAAAAUUGAAAUCCCACCCAGAGCUACAACUGCCACAUCCCAACGUAAAGUCCACAUCACUAAACCAGAGCAGAGAUUAGCUUCUGUCAUGAGCAGAAGCAAGUAACUAUGUAACAAAUGAGUGACUAAACUGUGUAACUAACUGUAAUAAAUGUAACUAUGUAAUAAAAUUAGUAAAAUUA